This is a non-coding RNA of Pelobates cultripes (western spadefoot toad), 123 nucleotides long. The record is from the annotation of a GenBank genome assembly. Lineage: Eukaryota; Metazoa; Chordata; Amphibia; Anura; Pelobatidae.
CCAGCAGACUCUCCCUCCCAAACCCUCCUACUUCCUGGACAGCAUCCAUGUUGAAAGCCAAUGUUGAAACAUGGAUGCUGUCCAGGAAGUAGGAGGGUUUGGGAGGGAGGGUCUGCUGGAGAU